This 395-nucleotide long non-coding RNA is filed under the name Physcomitrium patens. RNAcentral's name for it is "long non-coding RNA (PPAT_LNC007559)". Lineage: Eukaryota; Viridiplantae; Streptophyta; Bryopsida; Funariales; Funariaceae. The record is from RNAcentral.
GGAAGGAAGAAUGGAAAUUACAAUAACAAAAUCUUAAUUCUAAUAGAAUACUAACAAUGCUCUAAUUAGACCAUAAUAAUACUAAAUAAGCUUAAUCAAAUUCAAAGAAACUUCAGAGAAAUUUUAAACAAACAAUAAAAAUUCUUAAAGAAAUAUUAGAAGGAUCACAAAUAUCACUCAAAUACAUCUCAAUUCAAUCUUAAUUUAAUUCUAGUUAAAAUCCUAUUGAACUUCAUUCAAACUUUAGGCCAAAAAUAAUUGAAUCUUAAAUCCUAAUAAAAUCCUAAAUCCUAAAUCAAACCCUAAAAAAACCUUAAACCAAACUCCAAUCAAAUCCUCAACCAAAUCCUAAAUCCUAAAUCAAAUCAUAAUCAAAUCCUAAUCCAAAUCCUAAA